RNAcentral lists this ribosomal RNA (492 nucleotides) under uncultured bacterium. RNAcentral's name for it is "partial 16S ribosomal RNA". It matches the Rfam family "Bacterial small subunit ribosomal RNA", at positions 29 to 507 of the family's 1533-position model. The record is from RNAcentral.
AGUGAACGCUGGCGGUAGGCCUAACACAUGCAAGUCGAACGGCAGCAUAGUAAGCGUUUGCUCUUACGGGUGGCGAGUGGCGGACGGGUGACGCAUACAUCGGAUUCUACUUUUUCGUGGGGGACAACGUAGGAAAACUGACGCUACUACCUCAUACGACCUACGGGUUGAAUCAAGAGAUAUUCGGACCUUUGCCGAUUCAAUUAGCCGACGCCGGAUUAGCUAGUUGGCGGGGUAAAGGCCCACCAAGGCGACGAUCCGUAGCUGAUCUGAGAGGAUGAUCAGCCACACUGGAACUGAGACACGGUCCAGACUCCUACGGGAGGCAGCAGUGGGGAAUAUUGGACAAUGGGCGCAAGCCUGAUCCAGCCAUGCCGCGUGGGUGAAGAAGGCCUUCGGGUUGUAAAGCUCUUUUGUUGGGAAAGAAAAGCAGCGGAUGAAUCCCUCGCUGUUCUGACGGUACCCAAUGAGUAAGCACCGGCUAACUUCGUG